This is a long non-coding RNA of Sapajus apella (tufted capuchin), 839 nucleotides long. RefSeq lists it as uncharacterized. The transcript has 3 exons. NCBI's taxonomy places the organism in Eukaryota, Metazoa, Chordata, Mammalia, Primates, Cebidae. The record is from RefSeq and is a predicted model, not a curated record.
UUUGACUCCUGGUCUUCUUUCUUUACACGGAUUUUGACCCCUGGUACUCUUACUUUACACUGGGGCUUUUGAGAUAGACGAAGUUAGCUUGCCAACAGAACUUGAGUUUCAUGUCUUAUCCUGUUAUUAUUGAAAGUUUGUGUACACAGGUCAAUAACUGAUACAAUGACAUGACAAAAAACCUGUGAAGAAUUUAUACCAGCUUUUUGUGAGGUUCUCCCAGAAUACAGAAAGAAAGGCAGGAGGUAAACGUACUUAGAAGUACAUUGGUCUGUUUUGAAUGGUUUUAUUCUCUGUCUUCUUGCUCAUUGUUACCAAACCCAAAAGUUGCCCCUUCAUUAUUCAGUUGUGCUCUGAGCAAAUACCCAACCAUUAUUGUACAACAGGGUAUCCAGUCAGACAAAUAUACCCUCUGAUUGCUCUUCUCGAAAUUUUACAGUGAGCUGAAAACAAUGUUCAUUUGUUAUUGGCAAGUUUUUUUUUUAUUAUUAUACUUGAAGUUCUGGGAUACAUUUGCAGAACGUGCAGGUUUGUUACAUAGGUUUACACGUGAUUGGCAAGUUUUAAAAACAGACAUUAUAAAAAUUCUUAAUAAAAUUGUCUUUUACUCUUUCAGUCUUGCAAUGGAAUUGUUUAUUCUUGAUUUAAUGUCUACCUGUGAUAUAGAUACAAUGAAAUUCCAAUACUGAGAGAAAAGACAUCUCGUGUGGGACGAACAGACACUGCACAGGCAAACUUUAAAGUAGUGACUUGAAAGUUUGGAUAAAAUCAUGUUGAAAAUAAACCUCAGUGAAUUCUUGGAAAUUGUUUAACCUUCUUGUGUUGGUCUGGCGGUUGCU